Molecule: ribosomal RNA, 329 nt
Filed under: uncultured eukaryote
Lineage: Eukaryota
Description: partial 18S ribosomal RNA
Rfam family: Eukaryotic small subunit ribosomal RNA
Source: RNAcentral
CCCUUAGAUGUUCUGGGCCGCACACGCGCUACAAUGAUGAAUUCAACGAGUUUAUAACCUUGGUUGAAAAGCCUGGGUAAUCUUUUGAACUUUCGUCGUGAUGGGGCUAGACCCUUGCAAUUAUUGGUCUCCAACGAGGAAUUCCUAGUAAACGCAAGUCAUCAGCUUGCAUUGAUUACGUCCCUGCCCUUUGUACACACCGCCCGUCGCACCUACCGAUUGAAUGGUCCGGUGAAAUCUUCGGAUUGAGACUUUGUUUUCUUCACGGAAAACGCUGUUUUAAAAAGUUGAUUAAACCUUACCAUUUAGAGGAAGGUGAAGUCGUAACA